CACUUUAAAAUCUACAAGGGAUUUUUUUGUCUUUCACAAUUUAAAAACAUUUCUUAGCUCCUAACAACUUUGCUAGCCUCUUUUUUUUUCUCUAUUUUUUUUAUUUUUGGGGGCCAAGACUUUUCAUAAACUUGAGCUAGAUGUUUAUCUACUUAUCUCAAUAAGACUAUUCACUUAAACACAAAGAGUCUAUUCUUUUCCUUCAAACUUUUCAUGCUCCCAAAUCAUAAUCACAACACUCACCCCCACCUAUAGCU
Molecule: long non-coding RNA, 257 nt
Filed under: Brassica napus (rape)
Lineage: Eukaryota; Viridiplantae; Streptophyta; Magnoliopsida; Brassicales; Brassicaceae
Description: long non-coding RNA (BNAP_LNC018993)
Source: RNAcentral